RNAcentral lists this ribosomal RNA (232 nucleotides) under uncultured bacterium. Its description in RNAcentral is "partial 16S ribosomal RNA". It matches the Rfam family "Bacterial small subunit ribosomal RNA", at positions 85 to 334 of the family's 1533-position model. The record is from RNAcentral.
CAAUACGUCAGCGGCAGACGGGUGAGUAACGCGUGGGAACAUACCUUUUGGUUCGGAACAACACAGGGAAACUUGUGCUAAUACCGGAUAAGCCCUUACGGGGAAAGAUUUAUCGCCGAAAGAUUGGCCCGCGUCUGAUUAGCUAGUUGGUGAGGUAACGGCUCACCAAGGCGACGAUCCAUAGCUGGUUUGAGAGAACGACCAGCCACACUGGGACUGAGACACGGCCCAG